CCUACGGGGUGCUGCAGUGGGGAAUAUUGGACAAUGGGCGAAAGCCUGAUCCAGCCAUGCCGCGUGUGUGAAGAAGGCCUUCGGGUUGUAAAGCACUUUCAGUGGGGAAGAAAGCCUUGGGGCUAAUACCCUCGAGGAAGGACAUCACCCACAGAAGAAGCACCGGCUAACUCCGUGCCAACAGCCGCGGUAAUACGGAGGGUGCGAGCGUUAAUCGGAAUUACUGGGCGUAAAGCGCGCGUAGGCGGUCUGAUAAGCCGGUUGUGAAAGCCCCGGGCUCAACCUGGGAACGGCAUCCGGAACUGUCAGGCUAGAGUGCAGGAGAGGAAGGUAGAAUUCCCGGUGUAGCGGUGAAAUGCGUAGAGAUCGGGAGGAAUACCAGUGGCGAAGGCGGCCUUCUGGACUGACACUGACGCUGAGGUGCGAAAGCGUGGGUAGCAAACAGGAUUAGAUACCCUGGUAGUC
This 465-nucleotide ribosomal RNA is filed under the name Vreelandella stevensii. Its description in RNAcentral is "partial 16S ribosomal RNA". It matches the Rfam family "Bacterial small subunit ribosomal RNA", at positions 338 to 795 of the family's 1533-position model. Lineage: Bacteria; Pseudomonadati; Pseudomonadota; Gammaproteobacteria; Oceanospirillales; Halomonadaceae. The record is from RNAcentral.